Molecule: ribosomal RNA, 465 nt
Filed under: Vreelandella stevensii
Lineage: Bacteria; Pseudomonadati; Pseudomonadota; Gammaproteobacteria; Oceanospirillales; Halomonadaceae
Description: partial 16S ribosomal RNA
Rfam family: Bacterial small subunit ribosomal RNA
Source: RNAcentral
CCUACGUGUGGCUGCAGUGGGGAAUAUUGGACAAUGGGCGAAAGCCUGAUCCAGCCAUGCCGCGUGUGUGAAGAAGGCCUUCGGGUGGUAAAGCACUUUCAGUGGGGAAGAAAGCCUUGGGGCUAAUACCCUCGAGGAAGGACAUCACCCACAGAAGAAGCACCGGCUAACUCCGUGCCAGCAGCCGCGGUAAUACGGAGGGUGCGAGCGUUAAUCGGAAUUACUGGGCGUAAAGCGCGCGUAGGCGGUCUGAUAAGCCGGUUGUGAAAGCCCCGGGCUCAACCUGGGAACGGCAUCCGGAACUGUCAGGCUAGAGUGCAGGAGAGGAAGGUAGAAUUCCCGGUGUAGCGGUGAAAUGCGUAGAGAUCGGGAGGAAUACCAGUGGCGAAGGCGGCCUUCUGGACUGACACUGACGCUGAGGUGCGAAAGCGUGGGUAGCAAACAGGAUUAAAUACCCUGGUAGUC